RNAcentral lists this ribosomal RNA (253 nucleotides) under uncultured bacterium. RNAcentral describes it as "partial 16S ribosomal RNA". It matches the Rfam family "Bacterial small subunit ribosomal RNA", at positions 524 to 776 of the family's 1533-position model. RNAcentral also lists the same sequence under 1 other name. The record is from RNAcentral.
UACGGAGGGUGCAAGCGUUAUCCGGAUUUACUGGGUUUAAAGGGUGCGUAGGUGGGUCUGUAAGUCAGUGGUGAAAUCUCCGAGCUUAACUCGGAAACUGCCAUUGAUACUAUAGAUCUUGAAUUAUCUGGAGGUAAGCGGAAUAUGUCAUGUAGCGGUGAAAUGCUUAGAUAUGACAUAGAACACCAAUUGCGAAGGCAGCUUACUACGGAUCGAUUGACACUGAGGCACGAAAGCGUGGGGAUCAAACAGG